This 265-nucleotide ribosomal RNA is filed under the name uncultured bacterium. RNAcentral's name for it is "partial 16S ribosomal RNA". It matches the Rfam family "Bacterial small subunit ribosomal RNA", at positions 88 to 354 of the family's 1533-position model. The record is from RNAcentral.
CCGGCGACCGGCGCACGGGUGAGUAACACGUAUGGAACCUGCCCGCAGCAGGGGGAUAAGCGGAAGAAAUUCCGUCUAAUACCGCGUAACACCGCGGAGGGGCAUCCCUCGGCGGUUAAAGAUUCAUCGGCUGCGGAUGGCCAUGCGGCGCAUUAGCAGUCGGCGGGGUAACGGCCCACCGAGGCGACGAUGCGUAGGGGUUCUGAGAGGAAGGUCCCCCACACUGGUACUGAGACACGGACCAGACUCCUACGGGAGGCAGCAG